CCUACGGGGGGCUGCAGUGGGGAAUAUUGCACAAUGGGGGAAACCCUGAUGCAGCGACGCCGCGUGAGUGAAGAAGUAUCUCGGUACGUAAAGCUCUAUCAGCAGGGAAGAAAAUGACGGUACCUGACUAAGAAGCCCCGGCUAACUACGUUCCAGCAGCCGCGGUAAUACGUAGGGGGCAAGCGUUAUCCGGAUUUACUGGGUGUAAAGGGAGCGUAGGCGGCAGCACAAGUCUGGAGUGAAAUCCCCGGGCUUAACCCCGGAACUGCAGUUGAAACUGUGCGGCUGGAGUGCAGGAGGGGUAGGCGGAAUUCCUAGUGUAGCGGUGAAAUGCGUAGAUAUUAGGAGGAACACCGGUGGCGAAGGCGGCUGACUGGACUGUAACUGACGUUGAGGCUCGAAAGCGUGGGGAGCAAACAGGAUUAGAUACCCCGGUAGUC
RNAcentral lists this ribosomal RNA (440 nucleotides) under uncultured bacterium. Its description in RNAcentral is "partial 16S ribosomal RNA". It matches the Rfam family "Bacterial small subunit ribosomal RNA", at positions 338 to 795 of the family's 1533-position model. The record is from RNAcentral.